CCCCCCCCCGCCCCCACCCAAGGACCACCCCCUACCCCCCCAGGGAGACCCCAAGGCAGGACUACGGGCCACGGUGCUCUUCCCAGCGGCCCCAAAAGCGGCUCUCCAGGGUGGCUGUCCGGGAGCCCCGGAGAGGGGGCCGCUGGGCCCUGCCCUCGAGGAGCUUACAGUGAAACGGGACAACUUCCAGUGAGCUGGAAAGGAGCUCGGGGGUCCCCAUCAGCCACCCUUUAUCUCCCAGAGAAGCCGGAGGGGCCGCAAAAGCCAGCAGUUGCCCGAGUCAGGCAGGGGCAGAUGGUCCUCUGGUUCUCCCGGAUCCAGGGGUGAAAGCUGGCCGGGUACCCUGGGAAAGCCCACGAAGGGCCGCUGGUGGCCGAGGGGAAGCGCUGCCCUGGGAUACGGGAGAGGGACGCCAUUUCCGGGAGGCCUUGUUCUGACCCGUCUUAGGUUCCCUCCAAGCCAGCUUCUUUGACUUUGGGGAACGUUCCCCUCCCUUUAUUGAGAGAGAAGCUGGGGCCCAGAGGCAGCGAAACCCCAUGUCCAAGGAAGGAAACCAGCAUUAAUUAAGCACCAGGCACUGUGCUAAGCAUGUAUCAGUAUUAUCUGAGACCCACUACGACCGUGAGAGGGACAAGCAGAAAAUACAGCUGAUCUUCCUGCGUGAUAACCAUUCAGGGAUCGAAGUCAUCUCUUGGGUAAAUAUCCCCAGCCUUCAGAAGGAACCUCCAUUUCAUGCCAUGAUGCUUCGAGGAGUGUACCAGCCUUGUAGUACCACAACAUGGACUGAACUGGAGGCAUCUAAAAGCAUCAACACAAAGCACUAACAAGAUACAAUGUAACAGCUCUGAAAUGUUUCCAUCUCAUUCUCUUCAUAAUAAAGCAAAUCCUCGA
Molecule: long non-coding RNA, 891 nt
Organism: Sarcophilus harrisii (Tasmanian devil)
Lineage: Eukaryota; Metazoa; Chordata; Mammalia; Dasyuromorphia; Dasyuridae
Exons: 3
Source: RefSeq, a predicted model, not a curated record